This 405-nucleotide ribosomal RNA is filed under the name Triticum aestivum (bread wheat). RNAcentral's name for it is "partial small subunit ribosomal RNA". Lineage: Eukaryota; Viridiplantae; Streptophyta; Magnoliopsida; Poales; Poaceae. The record is from RNAcentral.
AUGCUUAAAAUUGAUCUUGCUAAGGCUUUCGAUCGUUUAGAAUGGAGCUUCAUUGUUUCAGCUCUUGCACGUAAAGGAUUGCAUGCUCAUUUCAUAAAUUUGAUUUAUGAGUGCAUUUCUUCUCCUACUUUUUCUGUGGUCAUUAAUGGUAGGCCUUCUCAUAAAUUCAAAAGUUCUAGGGGUAUUCGUCAAGGUUGUCCUAUGUCCCCUUAUUUGUUUGUUAUUGCCAUAGAAUUAUCUCUUGCUCUUAACGAAGCUUUAGCUGCUCAUAGUCUUCAGGGUAUUUUGCUUGGAACAAAUUGCCCCCUGAUUCACUCUCUUUUGUUUGCAGAUGAUUUGUUGGUAUGUGGUCAAGCUACUGUUCAGGAAGCUAAUGCUAUGGCCAACAUUAUCAAUCAUUUUUGU